CCUACGGGAGGCAGCAGUGGGGAAUAUUGCACAAUGGGGGAAACCCUGAUGCAGCGACGCCGCGUGAGUGAAGAAGUAUUUCGGUACGUAAAGCUCUAUCAGCAGGGAAGAAAAUGACGGUACCUGACUAAGAAGCCCCGGCUAACUACGUGCCAGCAGCCGCGGUAAUACGUAGGGGGCAAGCGUUAUCCGGAUUUACUGGGUGUAAAGGGAGCGUAGACGGCAGCGCAAGUCUGGAGUGAAAUCCCAUGGCUUAACCAUGGAACUGCUUUGGAAACUGUGCAGCUAGAGUGCAGGAGAGGUAAGCGGAAUUCCGAGUGUAGCGGUGAAAUGCGUAGAUAUUAGGAGGAACACCAGUGGCGAAGGCGGCUUACUGGACUGUAACUGACGUUGAGGCUCGAAAGCGUGGGGAGCAAACAGGAUUAGAUACCCGAGUAGUC
Molecule: ribosomal RNA, 440 nt
Filed under: uncultured bacterium
Lineage: Bacteria
Description: partial 16S ribosomal RNA
Rfam family: Bacterial small subunit ribosomal RNA
Source: RNAcentral